CAGUUCUGCCAACGAUUUAUCUUCAGAAGACAAGCAGAUGAGGAGACAAAACCUACUGAUGUGGGUACCCAAGCAGGAACCCCCCUCUUGCACCGGCGACUCACGUGGGAAGAAGAAUUCACUGAGCUGAAAUGGAGUGAGAGCUAAGAUGCUCUCAGAAUAUUCUUAAAAUGACUGUGCUGCAAAGAAGCCCGGGUGAAUAGAAGAAAAUAGAAGGAAUGGUGGAUACAAGUGAAGGUUAAAAUGAGACCCCAUUUAUCGCACCAGCUGUUGGUGAUUUCAGCGCACCUUUCCAAGCCUCUUGAGAGUUCUGCUCUAACCACACUGCCCCCUAGUGUUCUCUCGCUUUGGUGCAACUGCAGGUUUCUCAUACUUCCGGAGAAAUAGAAAGCACCAGAUGACAGCCACCACACACUUUUGUCCCCAUUGCAAUAGGAUGCUUCUAACAAUCGUAAAAUUAUGAAACACUGAAUUCCUUAAAAGUUGUCCAUUUGUGGAUUUAUCUGAUGGUAACUAUUAAAUAUUUAAAAGUAACUUUAAUGAAUCUACUUAUGAUGAUUGAGUAAUCUAUUCUCUGAAUUCCACCAAAAAACCAUUUUAUGACCACAGUCAUAACGAACAUAUUUCUAUAGUCCUAAGCUGGCAAGAUAAAUAGAGAACAGUUCAUAAUAUAAACAAUAUAUUUAUUUAUUCCUAAACUAAUAAGAUGACUAUCAAUCUGUAAGAGACUAUGAAAAUCAAUACCGUAUACUUGGUAUAGUUGGUGAGAAUUUCAGGAGCAUGUUUGUUCUUUUAUUUGUGUUUUGGAAGAUACUUAGCCCACUUUUUUUUUUUUUUUUUUGAGAUGGAGUCUCACUCUUGUCGCCCAGGCUGGAGUGGAGUGGCAUGAUCUCGACUCACUGCAACCUCCACCUCCCAGGUUCAAGUGAUACUCCUGCCUCAGCCUCCCGAGUAGCUGGGACUACAGGUGCGCACCACCACACCCAGCUAAUUUCUGUAUUUUUAGUAGAGACGGGGUUUCACCAUGUUGGCCAGAUGGUCUCGAUCUCUUGACCUUGUGAUCUGCCCGCCUCGGCCUACUUAGCCAACUUUUAAGGACAAGUCCAGCCAUCCUUAUCCUUCACAGCAAAUAACAAACAUAGUGAUUUGUGGGGGUGAAGAGAUGUUGGUCAAGGGGUAUGAAAGUACAGUCAGAUAAAAGGAAUGUGUCCUAGAUUUGAUAGAAUACUAGGGAAAUUACAGUUAACAAAAAUUUAUUGUACACUUCAAAGUAGCUAGAAGCAAAGAACUGUAAUGUCCCCAACACAAAGAAAAGAUAAAUGUUUGGGGUGAUAAUAUCUCAAUUACUCUGAUUUGAUCAUUACACAUUGUAUGCAGGUAUCAAAAUAUCACAUAUCCCCCCAAAAUAUGUACAACUGUUGUAUAUUAAUAAAAAUAAAUACAAACAAAAAGACCCAAAUAGUUAUUAAUUAUAGUGUAAAUAUUAGACUAGAGCCAUUCUGGACAAGCACCUGUUCAACACCAUAUCCUCAUUUUCUGGCACCCAGUAGACACUGCGGAAGUAUUUUUGAUUGGUCCUGCAGAGGUUCUACCCCAACCUCACCAGGUGCAGGUGGAUGCCAGGUGCCAGCCUGGGAGAGGCUCUAAGUUCUAAAGAGUGUGUCGGUGGAUGGUGUGCUUUCAUCUUUUAGUUCAUAUGGCCCUGCCUUUUAUUAACAGCACAGAACACUGGGCCCAGACUCUUGCGAGAACAUGCCUUUGAACUGUUUGCUGCUCACCUUUUAGUGAAAGCUCUUGACAGAAAUAUUAAAGAGAAAG
Molecule: long non-coding RNA, 1818 nt
Organism: Homo sapiens (human)
Lineage: Eukaryota; Metazoa; Chordata; Mammalia; Primates; Hominidae
Gene: DLGAP1-AS4
Product: DLGAP1 antisense RNA 4
Source: Ensembl